RNAcentral lists this long non-coding RNA (690 nucleotides) under Cimex lectularius (bed bug). RNAcentral's name for it is "uncharacterized LOC106673103, transcript variant X1". The record is from RNAcentral. Lineage: Eukaryota; Metazoa; Arthropoda; Insecta; Hemiptera; Cimicidae.
AUAAGGAGUAGUGGAAAAAUUGAUGUUGCUUGGAAGUUGAGGACAGUCAAUGUAGUCACAUCAUUUAUGUAAGCAAGUUGCAGCUGCAGCCGGUAUGAACCACAUCAACCGCAAAUUACACAAAGAGGGCGCUGUCGCAUAAAGGCUGCGGAAUUCAUUGGUUACAAGAACAAGGGUUAUGAAGAUAGAUGUCAUUGUACACAUCCUGAUCUAAUAUCUUAUUUAUUGUCGAAGAUAAAGAUUAUUCGUUUGUAAUUAAUAUAAUUACAGUUGAUUACUAUUCAACUGUUGAAGUUGUGCUUGUAUGCUGUUUUAUGUUUUGCUGUUUUCAUCAUUGAUGCUUGCAUUGGUGGUUUAAUCUAAAUUUCUGUACAUCGUAAUCCAGAAAUUUAAGUAAAUUUCAUUCUUGGAAUUUUUUUUUCCUCAUUUUACAACAUAAAUGUAAGUACAAUUUUUUAAUACUAGUUGAUAUUAUUUAGCAUAGUUGGGUAAUGCAUGUUUUGGAGAAAAAAAAAUAUAUAUCUGACAUCUCAAGCAUUCAUCUUGCUAUUGAUAUCAUUUGGCAAUAAACCAUUAAAAAUUACCAAUUUAUUGACAAUAUUUUAGUAAUAUUAUAAAUUUCCAGAGACAUAGUGUUACUGUGCUAUUUACGUGUUAAUAUUGUCAAACAUUGAAAAAAUAUAAAAUACU